RNAcentral lists this ribosomal RNA (253 nucleotides) under uncultured bacterium. RNAcentral describes it as "partial 16S ribosomal RNA". It matches the Rfam family "Bacterial small subunit ribosomal RNA", at positions 524 to 776 of the family's 1533-position model. The record is from RNAcentral.
UACAGAGACUGCGAGCGUUAUUCGGAUUCACUGGGCGUAAAGGGUGCGCAGGCGGCCGUGUGUGUGAGGCGUGAAAGCCCGGGGCUUAACCCCGGAAUUGCACCUCAAACUACACGGCUAGAGCAUUGGAGAGGGUAGCGGAAUUCACGGUGUAGCAGUGAAAUGCGUAGAUAUCGUGAGGAACACCAGUGGCGAAGGCGGCCGGCUGGGGGCGCCCUGACGCUGAGGCGCGACAGCGUGGGGAGCAAACGGG